UUGAACCACCAGUUCCCGUACUAUCACUGGAGUUAAGCAAAGUCGAGCCUGGUCAGUAGCUAGAGUGGUGACCGUCUGAGAAUACCACGUGUUAUAA
This is a non-coding RNA of Acanthosepion pharaonis, 97 nucleotides long. The record is from the annotation of a GenBank genome assembly. Lineage: Eukaryota; Metazoa; Mollusca; Cephalopoda; Sepiida; Sepiidae.